Molecule: transfer RNA, 77 nt
Filed under: compost metagenome
Description: tRNA-Asn
Rfam family: tRNA
About the family: Transfer RNA (tRNA) molecules are approximately 80 nucleotides in length. Their secondary structure includes four short double-helical elements and three loops (D, anti-codon, and T loops). Further hydrogen bonds mediate the characteristic L-shaped molecular structure. tRNAs have two regions of fundamental functional importance: the anti-codon, which is responsible for specific mRNA codon recognition, and the 3' end, to which the tRNAs corresponding amino acid is attached (by aminoacyl-tRNA synthetases). tRNAs cope with the degeneracy of the genetic code in two manners: having more than one tRNA (with a specific anti-codon) for a particular amino acid; and 'wobble' base-pairing, i.e. permitting non-standard base-pairing at the 3rd anti-codon position.
Source: RNAcentral
UAGGGGUAUAGCCAAAAUUCGGUAAGGCGCUCGGUUGUUACCCGAGUACAUACAGGUUCGAAACCUGUUACCCCUGU